CGCCCAGACUCCUACGGGAGGCAGCAGUGGGGAAUAUUGCACAAUGGGGGAAACCCUGAUGCAGCGACGCCGCGUGAGUGAAGAAGUAUUUCGGUAUGUAAAGCUCUAUCAGCAGGAAAGAAAAUGACGGUACCUGACUAAGAAGCCCCGGCUAACUACGUGCCAGCAGCCGCGGUAAUACGUAGGGGGCAAGCGUUAUCCGGAUUUACUGGGUGUAAAGGGAGCGUAGACGGUGAAGCAAGUCUGAAGUGAAAGGCGGGGGCUCAACCCCCGGAACUGCUUUGGAAACUGAGCAGCUAGAGUGCAGGAGAGGUAAGUGGAAUUCCUAGUGUAGCGGUGAAAUGCGUAGAUAUUAGGAGGAACACCAGUGGCGAAGGCGGCUUACUGGACUGUAACUGACGUUGAGGCUCGAAAGCGUGGGGAGCAAACAGGAUUAGAUACCCGAGUA
This 448-nucleotide ribosomal RNA is filed under the name uncultured bacterium. Its description in RNAcentral is "partial 16S ribosomal RNA". It matches the Rfam family "Bacterial small subunit ribosomal RNA", at positions 328 to 792 of the family's 1533-position model. The record is from RNAcentral.